GAUACGAGUUCGUGGACAUGUGGAACGCAUUAUUCGGAGUUCGUAUGAUUAUGUUAUGAAUUUUUGAAAUUUGGGAAUUUUCUAUAAAUAGAGAAAUUUUCCGAAUUCUUUCUUUAAGGACAAAAAAAUGGGAAAUUUGCGUUUUGGCCCCCAGCUCUCUCCGUUCUCUCUCUCGUGCGUCCCUCAGACCCGACGGGUCGCGACCGACCCGACCCGGUCGGAAAGCCCACUUCCCGGACGCCACCGCCACCGGACCCGCACCAGACCGGCGCGCCUUGCCGAGCAUAGCUGCUCUGUGGCCUCGCCCCGCCCCGCCGCUGCCUCCAAGCCGAGAUCAAAGCCCGACCCAAGUGCAAAACGGACCCAGCCGGAAAACCACUUUUCCGGCGUUGCAUGGGCCGAUCGUUCCCAUUUUCGUGAUCUCCUCCUCCCCCUGAUCAUCCCCAUAUAGGCCUUGCUUGACGAUUUGGAGUGUGGAGUGAAAGAUCACAAGUUGAAGAUUUCGACGUCCCUGAUUCAAUCUGGAAUCUGAUCAGACGCACGAGAUUAAUCCAACUUCAACGCUUGAUCUAGGACGAUCUAGGCCGAACCAGGCUUAGCUCCAGGUGAUUGACGGUUUGAGUUGGUGGACGAUUGUGGAUCGUAUUUUGAGCUGAAUUGAAGACGCAGCGGGAUUAUCGAGCGGGUAAUCCUACAGGACAGGAGAACCAGGACGGUGAUCGUGCGGUUAGAGCAAUUGUUAGAGUUUUACAACAAUUGUAAGUUGUGAGGUGUGUUAUGCUCAUUUGAGCUUUAUAAUAUAUUGUGAGAGUGAAUUGUAAUAAUGAACUCGAAGUUUCGAGAUUUGUUUUUUUUGUAAUUGUAAUUAUUCAGGUUUCGGAUUUGAAUUUAUCAUUCAAAAUCCGGGGCGUGACAGUUUGGUAUCAGAGCGUAAGGUGCAUAUUUGGUGAUGUGUCAAUACCUUUCGAGUGAUGGCCCGUCUGCAGCGGAUCCCCAUCGUGUGCUCUUCGGUAUUGGCUAAGUCAUUGGGUAUGCGUGAGUGUUGGGAGUUGUUUAGGCCGCUAGGUUGUUUAGGGAACGUGAAUACCUUCCCUAUAGUAUUGACUUGGUUAAUAUGAAAUUGUAUUUGACUUAUACUGUGUUUUAAGUGUUAUACAUGUAUUAGCCAAGCAUACUAUACUCCUUAGGUGAUGGAUAUUCGAAGGGGUUGUACUUAGAACCUUACAGUUGUCUUGUAGGUUCGUAUGGGAAUAAGUUCAGUGGCCGCAAGUUACAAUCCUUGAGGAAUAGGAACCUCUUGAUUCAACUCUGUUAAGUCAACGAGGAUUGUUGUAUGGAAGUGAGGUUCUUUUGGAUGUUGAAGUGUUGGUUGAAGGCAUGAUGUGGACCUAUGCACGUACCUAGUGUGGAUACGAGUAUUAAUGGAUAGAAAGUUUGUCUUCUUAAGUUGGACGUACAUAUGUUUUUAGAUGAGAUGUACAUGUCAAAUAAUAGAUAUCUUGUUUUGUAAUGAGAUGUCCUUGUGGAGUUUGUUAGUAGGGUUGAGGUUAGGGAAGAAAUUAUUGUGGUUACUUCUUCCUUGUGCUUGUAAGUUGUUAAGCAGGGUUUGAGGUGCGAGACAAGAAUUUUAUUUUGUGCUCGAUGGUUAGAGAUGAGAGACCAUUGUUUUGGGUUGUCGUUGAGUACUAUAAUUCCUUCAGAAUCAGGAUUGUUGGUAGAAUUGGAAUUAGUAGUAGUUUUGGUGAUUCGGAAUUUGAAUUGAGUUCGUGAGAUAUGUCUUAUAUACGUGGUUGAUGUUGCUUGCAUCAUUUUGGAACGAUAUGUUGCGAUUCACAAGGAAAACUGGAUUUGAAAUUUAUUCAUUUGAACACCAUGGGUUGAUGACCUGACCGUGACUUGUGAAUAUAGUUUUGUUCAAGUGAAUGAAAUUGAAUUUUGAGGCCUAUGUAUGGUGCAGGAAGAAGCAUGGAGGACAUGUUAGAGUCAGGCAAGGGUUUGCCUUUGGUGAUUGAUUUUAGGUGAUAUAGUUAAACGCAAUUUCAGAUAUUGAUUUUAGUGACUUUGUUAGGUAUCCAUAGUGGUUCAAGUGAAUUACUAUGUGAUAUGGAGUUUGAUUCGAUUUCUGAAUCGCUAAAUGUUAGGGAUUGAAUUGUGGUGAGUUUUUGUUGAAGCAAUUGAUAGAUGAAAUUAUCGAGAUUCUAUAAG
This is a long non-coding RNA of Rosa rugosa (rugosa rose), 2205 nucleotides long. RefSeq lists it as uncharacterized. Lineage: Eukaryota; Viridiplantae; Streptophyta; Magnoliopsida; Rosales; Rosaceae. The record is from RefSeq and is a predicted model, not a curated record. The transcript has 3 exons.